Long non-coding RNA from Eriocheir sinensis (Chinese mitten crab), 701 nucleotides. RefSeq lists it as uncharacterized. The record is from RefSeq and is a predicted model, not a curated record. Lineage: Eukaryota; Metazoa; Arthropoda; Malacostraca; Decapoda; Varunidae. The transcript is spliced from 2 exons.
UCUUGCAUCCUCACCUCGGCGGGGGUGUGCAGCGCCAGCGAGCCCAAGGUCUCCCUGGCGAGCAUGGCAGGACUGGAGGGCUCCUCGGCGUCCCUCGGGGCCCCGACGGAGGUGCCGGAGAUCUUCCGGCUACAAAACCGGGCAGGUGGAGCUCGUUAGCCGUGGUAGGCAGUCUGCCUAGGAGAGCAAACUCCGAACAAUAAACCCGGGCAGGUGGAGGUCGUCAGCCGUGGUAGGCAGUUCACCUAGGAGAGCAAACUCCGAACAAUAAACCCGGCCAGGUGGAGGUCGUCAGCCGUGGUAGGCAAUCUGCCUAGGAGAGCAAACUCCGAACAAUAAACCCGGCCAGGUGGAGGUCGUCAGCCGUGGUAGGCAAUCUGCCUAGGAGAGCAAACUCCGAACAAUAAACCCGGCCAGGUGGAGGUCGUCAGCCGUGGUAGGCAAUCUGCCUAGGAGAGCAAACUCUAAACAAACCCGGGCUUGUGGUGCUCGUUAUACUGUCGUAGACAAUCCACGCGAUGGGAACACCAAAGAAAAGGAAAAUAAAAAGGAACACCAGAAAAAUGGAAAAUACAGAAACGAAACAUCAAGAAAAGAAACAAAAAGAUCAUCCACCUUUAGGCCCUAACAUCGCCAAAAUUAUGGAUGGGUCUCUUCUGGGGAGAAAGCGGCUCAUCCAGACCAAAGAACAUCAACCAAAG